UCUACGGGUGGCAGCAGUGGGGAAUAUUGGGCAAUGGGCGCAAGCCUGACCCAGCAACGCCGCGUGAGUGAAGAAGGCUUUCGGGUUGUAAACUUCUUUUGACAGGGAAGAGUAGGAGACGGUACCUGUCGAAUAAGCCACGGCUAACUACGUGCCAGCAGCCGCGGUAAUACGUAGGAGGCAAGCGUUGUCCGGAUUUACUGGGUGUAAAGGGCGUGUAGCCGGGUUGACAAGUCAGAUGUGAAAUCCUGCGGCUUAACCGCAGAACUGCAUUUGAAACUGUUGCUCUUGAGUACUGGAGAGGCCGACGGAAUUCCUGGUGUAGCGGUGAAAUGCGUAGAGAUUAGGAGGAACACCAGUGGCGAAGGCGGCCUGCUGGACUGCAACUGACGCUGAGGCCCGAAAGCGUGGGGAGCAAACAGGAUUAGAGACCCGUGUAGUC
RNAcentral lists this ribosomal RNA (442 nucleotides) under uncultured bacterium. RNAcentral's name for it is "partial 16S ribosomal RNA". It matches the Rfam family "Bacterial small subunit ribosomal RNA", at positions 338 to 795 of the family's 1533-position model. The record is from RNAcentral.